This 433-nucleotide ribosomal RNA is filed under the name uncultured bacterium. Its description in RNAcentral is "bacterial SSU rRNA". It matches the Rfam family "Bacterial small subunit ribosomal RNA", at positions 957 to 1391 of the family's 1533-position model. The record is from RNAcentral.
GAACGCGAAGAACCUUACCUGGUCUUGACAUGUACGGAACCUUCCAGAGACGGAAGGGUGCCUUCGGGAGCCGUAACACAGGUGCUGCAUGGCUGUCGUCAGCUCGUGUCGUGAGAUGUUGGGUUAAGUCCCGCAACGAGCGCAACCCUUGUCAUUAGUUGCCAUCAUUCAGUUGGGCACUCUAAUGAGACUGCCGGUGACAAACCGGAGGAAGGUGGGGAUGACGUCAAGUCCUCAUGGCCCUUAUGACCAGGGCUUCACACGUCAUACAAUGGUCGGUACAAAGGGUAGCCAAGCCGCGAGGCGGAGCCAAUCUCAUAAAACCGAUCGUAGUCCGGAUUGCACUCUGCAACUCGAGUGCAUGAAGUCGGAAUCGCUAGUAAUCGCAGGUCAGCAUACUGCGGUGAAUACGUUCCCGGGUCUUGUACACACC